CCUACGGGAGGCAGCAGUGGGGAAUAUUGGACAAUGGGCGCAAGCCUGAUCCAGCCAUGCCGCGUGAGUGACGAAGGCCUUAGAGUUGUAAAGCUCUUUUGGCGGGGACGAUAAUGACGGUACCCGCAGAAUAAGCUCCGGCUAACUUCGUGCCAGCAGCCGCGGUAAUACGAAGGGAGCUAGCGUUGUUCGGAAUCACUGGGCGUAAAGCGCACGUAGGCGGAUUUGUUAGUCAGGGGUGAAAUCCCGGGGCUCAACCUCGGAACUGCCUUUGAUACUGCAAGUCUGGAGUCCGGAAGAGGUGGGUGGAAUUCCUAGUGUAGAGGUGAAAUUCUUAGAUAUUAGGAAGAACACCGGUGGCGAAGGCGGCCCACUGGUCCGGUACUGACGCUGAGGUGCGAAAGCGUGGGGAGCAAACAGGAUUAGAUACCCGAGUAGUCC
This 441-nucleotide ribosomal RNA is filed under the name uncultured bacterium. RNAcentral's name for it is "bacterial SSU rRNA". It matches the Rfam family "Bacterial small subunit ribosomal RNA", at positions 338 to 796 of the family's 1533-position model. The record is from RNAcentral.